ACUCCCCAAAAGGAAAUAAUUGCAGAGGAGAGAGGGAAGAGAAAGCAAAUAAUCAGAGAAUUAUUGCCUCCUUAGAAAUCUAAAUUUAAAAAAUAACUAAAUUUUAUGGAUAUUAAACAGCAAAAGUACUAAGGGUCGUCCAUUCACUUUGAUGACCCAUUUGAUUAGUGAGAGAAAUGGAGGAAACGAAAAGAAUGUGAAUCCCAUUUGAAAUAUUUAUAGCACUUUGAUUUACACUUUCAAAAACCCAAAACAAAUCAUGCACAUAAACAAGGUCAGUAUAAAAACCAUUUGUAGGUUGAGAGCUUGAACUAACAUCUUAAGCCAUGCCAUUUGAUAACCAAAAACAAAAAGAAGGCCCCCGUCAAAAUACACUUCCAUUCACUCCCCUCCCCCCA
This 398-nucleotide unclassified non-coding RNA is filed under the name Hevea brasiliensis (rubber tree). Lineage: Eukaryota; Viridiplantae; Streptophyta; Magnoliopsida; Malpighiales; Euphorbiaceae. The record is from RNAcentral.